Molecule: transfer RNA, 74 nt
Filed under: Atopobium sp. oral taxon 416
Lineage: Bacteria; Bacillati; Actinomycetota; Coriobacteriia; Coriobacteriales; Atopobiaceae
Also listed under: 1 other name
Description: tRNA-Gly
Rfam family: tRNA
About the family: Transfer RNA (tRNA) molecules are approximately 80 nucleotides in length. Their secondary structure includes four short double-helical elements and three loops (D, anti-codon, and T loops).
Source: RNAcentral
GCGGGCGUAAUUCAAUGGCAGAAUGCCAGCUUCCCAAGCUGAUCAUGCGGGUUCGAUUCCCGUCGCCCGCUCCA